CUACAACACCUAAUAAUGGCAUGGCAAUUACAUAUGCACAAAAAUAGAGCCGGAGGGGCUGAAGUUGAAAGAUGUAAAGGCAAAAAAUUAUUUGUUCUAGGCCAUUGAUCGAUCUAUCCUUGAAACUAUUCUCAGCAAAAAAAAAAAAAAAAAACUUCUAAGGAUAUUUUGGAUUCAAUAAAGAAAAAUAUCAAGGCUCUUCCAGAGUAAAGUGUGCACAGCUUCAAGCCUUGAGAAGGGAGAGUUUGAGACUUUACAAAUGAAGGAUGGUGAAUCCAUGACCAUCAUUGUGUAAAGACUAUGGAAAUAGUUGACAAAAUGCGAUUCAAUGGUGAGAAGAUGGACGAUGUUGCCAUCGUUGAGAAGAUAUUGUGUUUUUUGGCUUCAAAGUUUGAUUACGUUGUUUGAUCAAUUGAAGAAUCCAAAGACAUAGAUGUCCUUUCACUUGAUAAACUCCAGAGCUCGUUGUUGGUCCAUGAAUAGAAGAUAAAUCAAAAUUUAUCUACAGAAGAGCAAGCUUUAAAGGCUUUUACCUUUAACCAUUCCUCAUAUUCUCGAGGUAGAGGUGGAGGAAAGGGAGAUCGAGGCAAUAGGGAUGGCAAUUGUAGCAGGCAGCAGCCAAAUGAUCAAAAUAAUGAUAAAUUUCAUGGAAAGGCAGAGGAUGGGAAUUCAACAAAUCCAAGGUAGAAUGCUUUCAAAGUCAUAGAUUUGGUCAUUUUCGUUCCGACUGUAAUACUAAGCUUCUUAAUGACAAAGAAAAGGGAUGGGAAUCAAAUUUUACAGAAAAGAAGGAAAUAGAAACUCUAGUGAUGGCUAGUUAAGUCAAUGAGGAACAUAAGUCAAAUAUGUGAUAUAUCGAUACAAGGUGCAGCAACCACAUUUGUGAGAGUAAAUCUUCUUUUUCUUAUCUAAAUGAAGACUUUCGUUCUACGAUGAGUUUUGGUGAUUGUUCUAUUGUUAAGGUAAUGGGAAACGGUGAAAUUAAUAUUAGAACUAAGAACGAUUUUGUAGAAACAAUUUCCAAUGUCUUUAUUGUUUCUGAUUUGAAAAGUAACAAGAAAAGUGCUGGUUAAUUGCAAGAAAAGAUUAUGUAAUAACUAUCCAACUUGGUGUUAGUGAGAUAUAUAAUCCUUUUAGAGGAGCUAUUGUUGCUAUUCAAAUGAGUUCAAACAGGUUGUUUCCUUUGAAGAUUGAAAUUGCUCAACCUUGUUUGAUGGCUGAAAUAAAAAAUCCUUCAUGGCUUUGGCAUUUUCGUUAGAAUAAUACUAUUUGCAAUCACUCACUAUCGUAGUCAUCUUAUGUGGCACACAUGUGAUUGUUAAUUAUUUGAUAUAUGUGGUAAGAAGAAACUAUCAAAUUAAUACAUCAAAUCACAAACCGAAAUGUAGAAUACCAAGUAAGGCAACUACUGCAGUGAUCGACUAUAAAUAGCAUUACUUUUUUCGUUAUGGUAAUUUGAACAUUAGUGGAUUAAGGACAUUUCAAUAGAAAUAUAUGGUGACAUGUCUUCCUCAAAUUGUCACUCCUUGUAAAGUUUGUGAAGAAUGUGUUGUUGGAAAAUAAUAUCGUUCUCAAUUUCCUCAAGGAAAGUCAUGGAGAGCAAAAAAAAUGUCUUGGAGCUAGUUCAUUCCAAUAUUUGUGGGCCAAUUUACCUUCUUGAUGAUUAUUUUCAAAAAAAAACAUGGGUUUAUUUUCGUAGGAGAAAUCAGAAGCUUUUAGUGCAUUCAAAAGCUUUAAGGCGUGUGUGGAGAAUGAAUCAUAAAGAGUCAUUAAAUCUCGUUGCACUGAUCAUGGUAGAGAAUGUUGUUCAUAGGAAUUUGAUGUUUUAUUGUAAUAGGCAUGGUAUUCGAAGGAAACUCACAGCCGCCUAUCAACAAAAUGGCGUGUCAGAGAGGAAGAAUAGAACCAUCUCAACAUGGUGAGAAGCUUGUUGGCAAGAGAGAAAAUUCCCAAAAAUUUCUAGCCCGAGGUAGUAAAUUGGGGCAUUUAUGUGUUGAACAGAAGUCCUACUUUUUCUGUUCAAAACAUGACACCUGAGGAAGCUUGGAGCGGAUGGAAAUUGAAAAAGGCAUUAUAGAGACUAAAGCAAGCACCAAGAGCUUGGUAUAGUCAUAUAGAUGUUUAUUUCUCAAGAAAAGGGUUUCUUAAAUGUCCUCACGAUCAUAAGCAUUUUACAAAGCUAGGAAAUAAUGAUAAAAUGCUUGUUUAUGUGCCUUUAAGUUGAUGAUAUGAUAUAUACUGGUAAUGAUAGUGCUAUGAUUAAUGCUUUUAAGAAAAAUAUGAUGAGUGAAUUUGAUAUGUCAAAUUUGGGAUUAAUGCAUUUUUUCCUUGGUAUUGAAGUUGUGCAAUCAUCUGUUGGUAUCUUUAUGUCACAUUUGACUAAGGAAUUCUGUAUGGAGCAAGAACAAAGGAAAAAUUGUUUGGUUUUUCUAGCAGUGAUUAUGCUAGAGAUCUUGAUGAUAGAAAAAAUACAUUCAUGUUUGUUUUUAUGAUGAGUUUUGGAGUUGUUUCAUGGUCAUCGAAGAAACAACAAAUUGCAACUUUAUUAACCACAGAAGUUGAAUUUGUUGUAACAGCCUCAAGCUCUUGUCAAGUUUUUUAGCUGAGGGGGCUACUGGAACACUUCAAAACCAGCAAAAAGGUCCAACAAUCAUACACCUUGUCAACUAUCAAAAUUUCAAAAAAUUUAGUUCUCCAUGGAAGGAGCAAUCAUAUAGAUGUGAGAUACCAUUUUUUGCGUGAUCUCUGCAAUGGUGGUAUAGUUGAUUCAAUGUUCUGCAAGAGCGAAGAGCAGGUGGCUGAUAUUAUGACUAAAUCGCUUAAACAAGUAGCGUUUGUAAAGCUUAGAAGAAUGUUGGGAGUACGUUCUUCACAGGAUGUCAUUUUAGAUUCUUGAAUUUCUUCUUAAACUGAUUUCUGCAGAUAUCAGUUUAAGGAAGGGUGUUAGGAUUUAUUUAUUUAAAUUAAUUACUAUUAGUUUGUAUGUUCGACUCUAUAGCUAUUUUGCUUAGUGGUUAGAGUUGUUUAGAAAGUAACUUUUGUGGUAGCUUUUCUUUUGCCUAGUUUAUUAGAAUCAGCUUUUGCCUAUAUAAAGGCUGUGGGUCGAUGAAUAAUAUCAUCAAUUUCAGUACCAACUCCUUUCAAUUUUUUCUCUCAUGUUCUUCACUUUAUUUGGUACAGUAGAACAUUAUCAUUUCCAGUGUUGCA
This 3207-nucleotide long non-coding RNA is filed under the name Olea europaea subsp. europaea. Lineage: Eukaryota; Viridiplantae; Streptophyta; Magnoliopsida; Lamiales; Oleaceae. The record is from RNAcentral.